GCCUGGCUGGGCUGGGCGCUCGGCCUGGCCGGGCUGGUGGUCGCGCUGACCGCGCCGAUCAGUGGGCAGUGGUUCGACGCCGCGGCCAAACGC
This 93-nucleotide transfer RNA is filed under the name Nocardia farcinica. Its description in RNAcentral is "tRNA-Thr". The record is from RNAcentral. Lineage: Bacteria; Bacillati; Actinomycetota; Actinomycetes; Mycobacteriales; Nocardiaceae.